AAAAAUAUAGCAUAGUUUAAUGCAUCUCACUUACACUGAGAACAUGCUGAAGCAUCAGCUGUUUUUA
RNAcentral lists this transfer RNA (67 nucleotides) under Conomurex luhuanus. Its description in RNAcentral is "tRNA-Val". It matches the Rfam family "tRNA". From Rfam's summary of the family: Transfer RNA (tRNA) molecules are approximately 80 nucleotides in length. Their secondary structure includes four short double-helical elements and three loops (D, anti-codon, and T loops). Further hydrogen bonds mediate the characteristic L-shaped molecular structure. tRNAs have two regions of fundamental functional importance: the anti-codon, which is responsible for specific mRNA codon recognition, and the 3' end, to which the tRNAs corresponding amino acid is attached (by aminoacyl-tRNA synthetases). tRNAs cope with the degeneracy of the genetic code in two manners: having more than one tRNA (with a specific anti-codon) for a particular amino acid; and 'wobble' base-pairing, i.e. permitting non-standard base-pairing at the 3rd anti-codon position. Lineage: Eukaryota; Metazoa; Mollusca; Gastropoda; Littorinimorpha; Strombidae. The record is from RNAcentral.